Molecule: long non-coding RNA, 988 nt
Organism: Daphnia carinata
Lineage: Eukaryota; Metazoa; Arthropoda; Branchiopoda; Diplostraca; Daphniidae
Exons: 3
Source: RefSeq, a predicted model, not a curated record
AAAUCAGAUAGUAAAAAGAAGUUGGCUGAACGCAUCGAAGAAUAGGAAAAGAGAAAGGAAUAACAACAGAAAACGAGAAAAGCCAACAUUAAGAAAAAGAAAACUGAGAAGAAAGAACAUAAACUGAAUGAACGCCUCACACUUAACAGAGGAAAAGCUGGAAUUGUCUGAUAAGGCAACGAAAAUCCAAUUUAAACGGAAGUUAGAGGGAAUGAAGAAGAAAUUAAAAAGAAAAAGUAAGAAGAAGAGGUCCUGAAUUGCCAAACAUGCUCGAGCCACCAAGGCAGUAUCUGUGUCAUCAACCUCUGGUCUUUCAGAGUUUGUUAAAACAGAAAUUCCUCAACCAAGACUAGCAAGUACACUGGCAACACCAAUUUUUAACAGUGAAGGCUGCCUAGUUUCCAGCAAAUUUGAUUUUGGAGAACUAUCUAAUUCCUCACCCAUUCUGAAAAAGACCACUUUAUAUCCAGAAGUGGCAACGAUUAAAAUGAAAGAAAAUAAAACUUAAACCAAAAAUGAAUAUCUUGGUAGGCCAAGCUGAAGCUGAGAAUGCAAGAAGCAUUGAAUAGAAACAGGCAUGAAAUGGUGCUCUGCAAAUAGCUGAAGGUUUUCAGGUAAAAGACUAUGUGGAAUUGCUUGCCAAAUCAAUUAAUGAACGAGAUCAAAUCAGAAAGUAACAUAAAUUGCGCUGAACGAAUCGAAGAAAAGGAAAAGAGAAAGGAAUAACAACAGAAAAAGAGAAAAGCCAACAUUAAGAAAAAUAAAACUGAAAAGAAAGAACAUAAAGUGAAUAAACUAAAGAAAAAAGGCAAAUUUACCGUAUGAAAGACUGAUACUGACUCAUGGAUGAGCUAAACUCUUGUUCUUUCAUGUGCAGCCAUGUCGUGAUAGUUUUAUAGAAAAAUACACUGGCAUGCCUUCCAUGAUCGUGGAAAAUUUGAAGAAAAAAUAUCUUAGAUUCAUUUAAAAAGGUUUAGUGUCUUCACUA